UGGGGAAUAUUGCACAAUGGGCGCAAGCCUGAUGCAGCCAUGCCGCGUGUGUGAAGAAGGCCUUCGGGUUGUAAAGCACUUUCAGCGGGGAGGAAGGCGGUGAGGUUAAUAACCUCAUCGAUUGACGUUACCCGCAGAAGAAGCACCGGCUAACUCCGUGCCAGCAGCCGCGGUAAUACGGAGGGUGCAAGCGUUAAUCGGAAUUACUGGGCGUAAAGCGCACGCAGGCGGUCUGUCAAGUCGGAUGUGAAAUCCCCGGGCUCAACCUGGGAACUGCAUUCGAAACUGGCAGGCUAGAGUCUUGUAGAGGGGGGUAGAAUUCCAGGUGGAGCGGUGAAAUGCGUAGAGAUCUGGAGGAAUACCGGUGGCGAAGGCGGCCCCCUGGACGAAGACUGACGCUCAGGUGCGAAAGCGUGGGGAGCAAACAGG
RNAcentral lists this ribosomal RNA (429 nucleotides) under Chloroflexota bacterium. RNAcentral describes it as "Chloroflexi bacterium partial 16S ribosomal RNA". It matches the Rfam family "Bacterial small subunit ribosomal RNA", at positions 355 to 776 of the family's 1533-position model. Lineage: Bacteria; Bacillati; Chloroflexota. The record is from RNAcentral.